GGAAGAGAAAGAAAUUCGAUUCCGUAAGUAGCGGCGAGCGAACGCGGAUUAGCCCAAACCAAUAAAGUUUUCUUUAUUGGGGUUGAGGACAUACCACAUAUAAGAGGUCAUUAUAGACGAAGAAGUUUGGAAAAACUCAUCAUAGAAGGUAAUAAUCCUGUAGUCAAAAUAAUAAUUCUUUAGGUAUGAUCCAGAGUACCACGGGACACGUGAAACCCUGUGGGAAGCAGGAGGGACCACCCUCCAAGGCUAAAUACUACCUAGUGACCGAUAGCGUA
RNAcentral lists this ribosomal RNA (278 nucleotides) under Clostridioides difficile. RNAcentral describes it as "partial 23S ribosomal RNA". It matches the Rfam family "Bacterial large subunit ribosomal RNA", at positions 215 to 494 of the family's 2925-position model. Lineage: Bacteria; Bacillati; Bacillota; Clostridia; Peptostreptococcales; Peptostreptococcaceae. The record is from RNAcentral.